GGAUAAAAGCUACCCUGGGGAUAACAGGCUUAUCUCCCCCAAGAGUCCACAUCGACGGGGAGGUUUGGCACCUCGAUGUCGGCUCAUCACAUCCUGGGGCUGUAGUAGGUCCCAAGGGUUGGGCUGUUCGCCCAUUAAAGUGGUACGCGAGCUGGGUUCAGAACGUCGUGAGACAGUUCGGUCCCUAUCCGUCGCAGGCGUAGGAAAUUUGAGAAGACCUGUCCUUAGUACGAGAGGACCGGGAUGGACGUACCUCUGGUGUACCAGUUGUCCUGCCAAGGGCAUGGCUGGGUAGCUAUGUACGGAAUGGAUAAGCGCUGAAAGCAUCUAAGCGCGAAGCCAACUUCAAGAUAAGAUUUCCCACCGCAAGGGUAAGACCCCAGAAAGACUAUCUGGUUGAUAGGUCGAAGGUGUAAGUGCAGUAAUGUAUUUAGCUUAUCGAUACUAAUAGGUCGAGGACUUGACCAAU
Molecule: ribosomal RNA, 469 nt
Filed under: Clostridioides difficile
Lineage: Bacteria; Bacillati; Bacillota; Clostridia; Peptostreptococcales; Peptostreptococcaceae
Description: partial 23S ribosomal RNA
Rfam family: Bacterial large subunit ribosomal RNA
Source: RNAcentral